Molecule: long non-coding RNA, 15897 nt
Filed under: Vigna radiata
Lineage: Eukaryota; Viridiplantae; Streptophyta; Magnoliopsida; Fabales; Fabaceae
Description: long non-coding RNA (VRAD_LNC001404)
Source: RNAcentral
GGGAAUACUACUUUUAACACUCAACUUUCUUACUCUCCUUUCUUCUUUAACUUACUUUUCUUUGCUUGCAGGAAUACGAGAAAGAAAGUCACUGUAUCACCACUCAUCUCAAGUUGGUAGGUAGGGCUUGUGUGUGGUUGAGAAAGAAACUUUACUUGCCACAGGAGUGAGAAAGAUAGCCACACUAGUGAAUAGAGAGAGAGACUCAACUUGAAAAAGGCAGAUUUGAUUUUUAGGGAUAGGCUAGUUUCUUUGGAACCAUGUAGUAAUCCCUUUUGUUCACUCAUGGAUGGUUACGAAGCUACACGAAUUGUGUUCUUAAGGGUCCAAACUUUGGACCCAGAAAAUGCUUCCAAAAUCAUGGGUUUGCUUCUGCUUCAAGACCAUGGUGAAAAGGAAAUGAUNANAUUAGCAUUUGGUCCAGAAGCACUUGUUCACUCAGUGAUUGUUAAAGCCNGCAAGGAGUUAGGUUUACCUUUGAACUCUCCGCCAACACCCUCCACUCCUCCUUCUCCUUCACCCUUCCUUCCGAGGCAGAACUCUACUUCUUCAAGGCUCGGUGGUAUCAGCCUCCCUCCUACUCUCACCAUUCCAAACCCUUCUUCUACUUCUUCUUCAUGGCCUACUAUGUCUGAGCUUCAAACCCCUGAUAGUUUGAUGAGCCCCAACAAUUUGGUUGUUGGCUCUUCUACUUCUUCAUCCUCCUUAUCCUUUUAUGCAAAUGGAGGUUCAGAUCCGAUUGAUGACUUCCAACUUCAAGACCAGCUCUCUUUUCUGAAUGAUGGUUCUGCUCCUGCUCACAAAAACAACCCUGAUUUGUUUUACCCUUGUCACUCGGACUUGUCUUCAAGUCCUACUGCUGCUUCUGACCCUACUCUCUUUCCUUCCUUCGAUUGGGGAGGGUCUAUUCACCGCAGGAGUUGUUCUGUCAAUGAUGUUUGUUUGGGCUCUGAGGACUCCAAUUCCGGGUUGGGGUGGAAGCCUUGUCUUUACUUUGCUAGGGGAUACUGUAAAAAUGGCACUAGUUGCAGGUUCCUUCAUGGUGGACUUGGAGAUGCUGACGCUGCUGCUCCUGCUGCAAUGGUUGGGUCUCCUAGCAAGCUUGAGAUGAUGGAGCAGUGCCAUGAGCUUUUUAGAGCUAAGUCUUCACAACAGCAGAGACUGGCUGCUGCUUCUCAGUUCAUGGCCACUUCUACUUUUCCAUACAGCCCAAAGUGCAUGAAUUUGCUGUUGCAGCAGCAACAGAAUGAUACUCAAAGGUACGUGGUGCUUUCAUACCAUGCAAUCAUGUGUUUUGAUUAGUGCUGUCUUUGUAAUGGUUGAGGUGUAGGAUUCUAAUCAUGACUGAUAAUAAUUGCAGAGCUGCAGCUCUGAUGAUGAGUGAGGAUUUGCAUAAAUUUGGACGAUCCAGGCUUGAAAGAAAUGAUUUUUCUCUGAACAGUCCUGGAAUGGUAAACCCAGCUUCCAGGCAGAUCUACUUGACUUUCCCAGCAGAUAGCACUUUCAGAGAGGAAGAUGUUUCAAAUUACUUCAGGUUAUUGUUGUUUAGCUUUUGCUGGAGUUCCAAUGCAUGGUAUGACAAUGGCAGAAUUAUUAACUAAGUUUCUAAUUCUGUGGUUGAAGCAUUUAUGGCCCAGUCCAAGACGUGAGGAUCCCAUACCAGCAGAAGAGAAUGUUUGGCUUUGUUACCUUUGUUUACCCGGAGACUGUGAAGCUUAUUCUAUCUAAAGGAAAUCCUCAUUUUGUGUGUGAUGCUCGAGUGCUUGUUAAGCCUUACAAGGAGAAGGGCAAAGUCCCGGACAAGUACAGGCACCUCCUCUCUCUGCUCUUGUGUUAUCUUUCUCUUUCUGGUUAUCUUGAGCUUUUUUAAUGUGUUCAUGUUUCUUGUGACAUCCAGGAAGCAGCAGCAGGUAGAUAGAGGGGAUUUUUCACCAAGUGGUACUCCUACUGGACUAGAUGCUAGAGACCAAUUUGAUCUUCAACUUGGUAGGUUAAUGCUUUAGGUUAAACCUUCUUCUUUAUUAUCUUUUCAGAUUAUGUUGGUCAAACCUACUGUAUUUAACACUUUAUUGUCUUGUAUGUUUUCAGGAGGCAGAAUGUUCUACAAUACUCAAGACAUGCUGUGGAGGAGGAAGCUGGAGGAGGAAGCUGAUUUGCAGCAAGCUCUAGAGCUCCAAAGUAGGAGGCUAAUGGGCCUGCAGCUUCUUGACAUCAAGAAGCAUCACCAGCGUGCACUCUCCACCGGAAGUCCAAUUCCUUCCCCAGCACACUCUCUUAACAUGUUCAACCAAAAUCUUGUUCUUCCUUCUUUUCACAAUAUUUCCGAGGCCCCAAAGGGUAUAUCUCUCUUUUACAUUUGAAAUGCAGCUGAUUCCAGCUGCUUUUGAAUUGAACUCGGUGCAUUUUUUUGGAGUGUUAUGAAUUUAUUGAGAUUUGUGCUACUUGGUUCCAGAGAAUGGUUCAACUUCUGCUCCACCUAGUACUGCUUCAGUUUCUGCUGGUCUGCAAUCUGUCAACGUUUCUGUUGGCAAGGAAGUGGUGAUCAAUGGCGAGAAUGGAUUGAAUGAAGGCAAUGACAAGCAGAACUCUGGUCAUGAAGAUAUUGAUUUGCAAGAAUGGUAUAGAACUUGCUCUUAUCUAGAAUAGUUAGAGGGCACCAGAAUAGUAAACACCUUUUUGCACCAAACUCUUUUUCAGUCCAUGCCAAAAAACAUUGUGCAUUUAUUCAGGUUUUCCUAAUUUCCUGAUUUGAUGGUCCUAUUUUAAAUGGUUUAUGAAUAAAUACAGCUCGGAGCAUAAUCUCCCUGAUAGCCCUUUUGCUUCCCCAACAAAAGCUGCUGGAGACUUGAUGGUUUCCUUCUCUAAUGGAACUGUUGAGGCCAUUGACACAGAUGCCUCGGGUGCAUCUGUCAACUCCAAAUUUGGUACUAGUGCAUUGCUUCCACCAGCAUCUGCAAUUGACAUGGGGACUUUCAAAUCCUAUAACUGUCAAAUACCAAGGUAUUGUUGUCAUUACAUUCUUUUCCUGCUUUUCCCAUGGCAUGAGUUUUCAGUAUUCAUAAAUUUUUGAACUUUUUGUGAUAUGGGUUUGGAUUCAGGUUCCCUUCUGGCCAUGGAACUUUUGGGAUGUUCCCGGGCACGGGUGGCCCGAUUGGCAUUUAGUUUCCUGAGUUCAGGUAAAGGUAGUUUGGAAGUUUAUGUUGAUGAAGUUCUGUUGCACAUGUUGUCUUUAAGGUGGAUUGAUUUGUUGUUUAGUAUAUUAAAUUUGGAUGUCGGUUUGGUCUUUUUUUGUGCAAUAUUUACAGGAAGUGAAAGAUGACUAAACAAACCGGGACAAAUCAGUUGAAAACCACCAUCACCACCAUCCACCACCACCACCACCACCAUGACGGCCAUCACCAUCAAUCAUUAAUACUAUACUUGUUACAACCAUACAAAAUGCAUACGGAAAAAGCAGUUGAGUAAAGAAGGUGGGGCAGGCAUUCCCCCUUCUUUUGUUAUAUUAGCAUUAUAAUUCCACCAUUUUCUUUUUUAUCGUAUCUGUAGUAGUAGCUGAGUGAACCACAGGUUAAAAUAACACAGAAAGAAUCACCAAAGUCAAAUGUGUAAUAGGAACUCCCAAGCACUGUAAUUUCAUCUCCUAUCCUCGGUUAUGUAGUAGUGUAGAGUAUUAGUUCAAUGUUGUUACAGGUAUAAUUUCAAGUCUUUGUAUAGCUGGAGCAUUUCCCAGAGAAAAACAUGCACAGAUGAAGUGGUAAAAGCAAAAAGGCAGAACUUUAUAACUCCAAGGCUGAUUCAAACCCCCCCACUUGAAGGGUAACUUGAAUUUGAAAGCUAUAAGUGGGGAAAGGACUGUAAAAGUGUUAAUCUUAGCUGAUUAAAGUUCAAAGUGGAGAUUUUUAGCAUGGAGGUUAUGUUUAAUCAGUUAUGCUUGUACUUCUACUUAGUUGUUACACACAGUUAUCAAAGAAAGAAUUAGAAAGAAGAAUCAAAAGUUGAGAUUUUAGUCUAAUUGGUCUAUUUGUCUCUCCUCUUUGCUUUAUUUAUUUUGAAGGAGAAUUUGUCUCUUUGUUCUUGCAAUUAUUUUUGCCUUUCAAUUUGUAAAUUGGUGGGGUCUGUCUUUUUUUUUUGCCAUUAUUGGAGAGGAAAGAAGAGGGUCCAGAAUGCACAGCAUCACAUGGGAGUUGCUGACACUGCAAGUGGGCCACACAUAUUUAUAUAAUGCCAGGUUGUGUAUAGGUCCUACCCACCAGCACCUACCCAUGUGAGUGAUGCCACUUUUCUUUUUCAUCUACCCUUUAAUCUGCAAUAAUAAAAUAUGUACCCUUAAGUUUAUCUUUCAUCACUGGAAAGGACAUGCAUAGAUCUAAAAGUAGGGUAGAUGCCCCCACAUAUGACAAAACUCUCCAAUUACUCGAAUCUUUGGGACUCGGUUGCCUUAUGAAUGUUUGACUUAGCCUUGAUUUACUGUGAUUUCUUUGUAUUGCUCUCUUUCCAGUUUUCCAUAGCCUCCAAGUGUUUGUGAAAAAGCUCCGUCUUCAAAACUAGACUUACCUCCUGCACUACACAAGCAACAAUGUUGGUUGGUUUAUUACUUUAGUGCCUUUUUCUUUGAUCAAACCAAAGAUUAGGUUUUGCAUGUAACAUAUUGCCUACAACAGGUUUAAUGUGUUUGUAGUUUUGCUUAAAAAAAAUUAAAAUAUUGAUAUCACUCCACAAAUAAAGUAUCCUACGUGUUUGAGUCAAUGCCCAUCUAUCUCAUUGAUAUUUUUCAUAUUUUGCUAUCUCUUAACCAGCAGUUUUUAUGACACGUGAUUAUUAUUAUGCAUGGAAAUUAAUUGUGGUCUUUAAUUAUCAAAUACAUCAUCGUAUUUUUAAGUAUAAAUUAAUCUUCAGCAGAACCUUGCACUUUCAAUUGACAAAUGUGCAACUUAAAUUAUGGGAAUAAAGUAUGAAAACUUGUGUCGCCAGAACAAAAGACAAAAGCACAGAACACCUUGGUUCUAAAUUUUAACACUUUUUGAUUAAUAUUUCUAGUAAUUUGAUGUCUUGUUGGCAUUAUUUUGACCAACACUGUGUUGUUCUCGAGUAAGCUACAUUGACUAACAUGGAAGAACUAAAAUGUAGGAAACCAAGAUGAAGAGUGGAUUUCAGCUUUAUCAUAACUCAUUAAGUUUACUGAUAUAUGUAGGUUGUGGGUAGUUGUGUUAUUCCAAUGCUAGAAGAAUCUCUUGGUUAAGCAAUUCUGCUAGAUUGUUUCCACUAACACGAGUGCAUUGGGAUAAGUUGUGAUUUUCUAUUAGCAUGCAUUAUUAAGUAAAAGUUAUAUAGUUACGGCUUGUGUAGCAAGGUUCUUAAGGUCACCAAAACAGUCAUCAAUUGCUCCGAGGUUUAAGACAGUAACACCAAAAUACAAUGUUAGUAAAUAAUGUUAUUGUCAAAUCAGAAAAAAGAUAAAUAGGUCAGAAAAGUUAAUGGUUUUUGGACAGACUCCUUGUAGUGACUGCACCUGCAAUCAUCCCAACAUGCUUGGUUGAAUUGCAGAUUUGUCAUUAAAUGGCUUAAUACACAAUAAAUAUAAUGCCUACUUGCUACAUCUAAGUUGUUUCAAUUUACUACAACCAGUAAAAGUUGGGGGGAAACAACUCAAUUUAAAAUAGACAUUGUUUUCAAGUCUAGUUAAAGCUAGUUAAAAGUUUGACCCAUUAAAUGCAUGGUUAACAAAGAUAUCAGUGAUCAGAAAAGAGAGAAGAUUAAGCAUGCAUUUAAGUUAAAAUAUUAUUUAACAUUCCAUUUUUAUUUAAAGCAAUUUUAUAUUUUUAUUUAUCUUAGAAUUCAUUGAUUAAUUUAGUAAACAAAUAUAAACCAUCAAGAAUGAAUAUAAAAACUUGGAUCUGUGUAAGUAACAUAAUGUUGCAGAAUGCCCUUCAUCCUGUUUAUCAACUGUUUGGUUUUGAAAAAAAAAACGUGUAUGUUGACAACUAAAACAAAUUUUUCCAUUUGAUGGAGACAUUUAGAAUAUAUAUAUAUAAAAUUGAGGCUAAAGAACUAUAGUCAUAGGCAAACAGAACAUUACCUCAAUGGUGGUGACCCAUGACUAGUGAUUGUGGUUAGUAGUGAGUAGCUAACCCAUGUCUGGUUUGUUGUAAGUUGAAACAUUAUUAAAUGUGUAAUGGGAACUGAAAUGUACGUGUGAUAAAUAAGGCUGUGCUGUUUUGUUGUAAUCCCUUUAUGAUUAAGACAUGCUUGCAAAUGCCACAGUCUUAUACGUGCAUGUGGUUAUAUUUUAGUUGCAUAGGAUUCUUCAAACACUGUCAAUCAGGGAAAACGGAUGGUGACCCCUGCCACCAAUUUCGACUGCAUAAUCUCUGAGUUUUUUUAAAAACAGUUACUGUCUUAUUUUCUGCUAUUUCUUAGUUGGACUAACUCAAAGUAAUAGUUUAUUUAUCGAAGAUCAAUAUAAAUAAUUCUGAGGAAAAAUUCAUCAAAGUCACAUUUGUUAUCUGAUUAAUUAAAUCAACUGCUAACUAUACCCUUUUAAAAUUUGAGACAGAUUAAUGAUUUUUUUAACUAAAAGUUAAAAUAUAAUUUAUUUUUUUCAAAAUAGUAACAAGCAUCCUUUUCAAAAGGAUGAUUAAGUCAAAAAAAUUGUAGUUUGGUUUAUUAGUUUUAUUUAAAUGAGGAAUGGUGUUCACGUCCAUUAAAUAAUUGAAAUCACCAUUGUUGAACUGAAAAUAUAGAUUGAAGAAGAUUUUGAAAAUAGAAUAUUGAUGAAAGAAAAGUGAUUGAAAAGCACAUGAUAUUUAGAAGGAGGAAGAAAGUGUUGAAAAAAUAUGAAGAAAUUGGGAAGGUCAAAGCAAGGGUACAAUGUGCAUAACAUGAUAAUGUUGGCAUAUUAUUUUGCAAGAAUAUUGGUUGCACAUGUUAUGAAUGGAUUAGACUACUUCAAAUGCACAUGCACUCCAAGACACAAAAACUCACACAAUUCAAAGUUUAAGAUUAUAACAGAUGUACUAUGUUUGUAUACUGUUUAGAUAGGAUAAGAAACAUUUAUAGUGCAUUUUUUUAGCACAAGAAAAGCACCAAAAGUACAACAACAUUCGUGCAACAUUUUAUGGCAAAGAGAAAUACUUGUAGGAAUCAAACCAAAACUUCUGGAUAAGAAAGAGUUCGAUUCAAUAUAUUUAGUUAAUUAAUUUAUCUAAAAAUUUAAUUCUGACCAAUUAAAUUUAUAAGAAAUAAAUAUGUUUUUAUCUUUUUCAUUUAUAUUUUGAAAUUGAUAUUUGUUUUCUUUUCAAACUUUAAUAUUAUUAUCCUAAAUUUAAAAGUAAAUUAAUAUAAUAUCCUAAUUCAAUUGUUUUAAAAUUUGGUAAUGUGUUUAGACUAGUGUUUAACCUGUUUAUAUCAUUUAAUAUUUUUAUUCAAAUGUUACUUUGAAAUAUAUUUGAUUAAAAAAAAUUAACCUAAUUGAAUUAAGAUGAUUAUAUACAUUCGUUUUUUAAGUUUAGAUAUCAAAAUCUAUCAAACGAAUUUCAAUUUUAAUCUAAGUUUAGAAUCUCUAAACAUAUUUAAUCCUAAAUUUAAAAAUUCUAAUUUUUUAAGUAACCAUCUAUGAAAAACUAAAUAGUAUGAGAAUGGAGACUGACGAGAGUGUUGAUAUGAAAUUUUUAAGGCUACAAACAUAAUACUUGGAUUGGUGUAUCAACUUUGGAAAAAUAUAUGGACCUAAAAAACUCGUAAAUAAAAUAAAAGAAUUGUUAUAUAUUGUGAAAUUUUCUAAUUAGUAUUUUUUUUAAAGAAAUAUUAAACAUAUCAAUACAUAUUAAAAAAAAUUAAAAUUUGGUUUGAGUGAUCUACUGAGAUCUAAUCUCCUUUAGUUUAUUGCUUUGAAGAAGUGAAGGAGCAGGGAUAGAAUAGGAAAAUGAGUAUAAAAUUUGGAGGUGGAAAGUUGGAAAACCUUCACAAAUCACACUACUGGGUUCAAGUCAAUAGGCUCAACUUUUGGUCCAAUUAGUUUAUCUUUGUUCGUUUUAUGGGCCUUGUAUAUUUGAAGACAAUUUUGAAUAGUAUAUUUCUGUACAGAUUUAUUUUUUUUAAGAUAAAUGGAUGACAAUUUUUUUUGAUGAAGUCACUUAUCUAUUCUUUUUUUUGUGGCACAAUUGUGUGUGUUUGUGUGUAUUUUACCUUCUAUGUAGUAAUUGAAAAAUUAUAAAAAAUAAUAAAUAUAUUUUUAGUUUUUGAAUUUUUUUGAAAUUGAAAUUUGAUCUGUUUAAAAAUUUGAUAUAUCUUGGAUUCCAAACUUUAUAAAUGAAUUGAUAUAAUCCUUUUAACUCAAUUAUGUUGAAAUUUUUUGAUGUGUUAAAUACGUUUUAUGCUAACAUUUGAGUUGUUUAUAGUGUUUGAUACUUUCUCACUUCAACGUUAGUUGAAAAAUACAUUCGAUAAGUCAAAACUAUUUAAUAUAAUUGGAUUAUAAUAAAUAUAUUGGUUUAUUUUUAAAGUUUUAGGCGAAAAUAUAUUUCAACAAUUACAAAUCCUAAUUUUUUACCCCAUUUUUAACUUACCUUGUUAGAUUAUAAUUUAUAUGUAUAUGUCCUUUUUAUAAAGUCAUUAUUUUGCUAUGAUUUUCAAACAUGUGAUAAUUACAUAUUGAAACAUGUUAAAAGGUUUCAUUAUAUAGUUGGUGUUAUGAGCUUUUACAUUUUUGUUAACCUAAUCACAAUCCGAUCAUAUCUUAAUCAAUCGGUUGAUUUGUAGUUAUUAUUGGUUAAGUAUUAAUCUAACAUUUAUUCUUUAAUUGGUUGGUCUUGCCAAUUGACCAGGGCAGUUGGCCCACCAGUCAAUCAAGGCAUUCAAUCUGUCAGUCGGUCAAGGCGAUCGGUUCGCUGGUCGGUUGGCCUGCUAAUCAAUCGAUUUGGGUAGUCAACUUGCUAAUCAUUCGGGUCAGUCACCGAUUGAACCAUUAGUCAACCUGACUUAUUGACCAAAAAGAUAUGUAAAAUAUACUGGCCCUUAACUCUGAGUACAUGUAGCUAAAGGGACGAAGGGGUUUGAAAAUGAAAAAGUAUCUAGUACUCGUGUAUGUCAAAUGUUAUAAUCCGAUCGAAAGCGAUUCCUUGGUUGGAACUCGCCCUUACUCUAUGGAGUUUUCUAUAAGGGUUCAUUGGUUGGAACUCGUCCUUAUAGUAACAAAUUUUAGUUCGGUCGAGAAGGGUUCUUAAUGGAAACUAGUCCUUACUAAAUGGAGUUUUCAAGAGGGGUUUCUUGGUUGAAUGUUCUAUCUCAAUCGUGAGAGGAUGAGACCGAGAUGUUGCUAGCAAUUAUAAGCCGAGUGGUAGAGGUCAAUGGUCGAGGGUGAGUGGCAGUUGACUAGUUGAAGUCAAAUGGUUAAGGCAAAAAUCCAUAUGUAACGUUUCCUAUGAGCUUUUUACAUACGAUUUUUAUUCGUAAAUAAUCCAUAGGUAACACUACUUUACAUACGAAUAUUUGACCUUAAAUACAAAUUUUAGUUGUAGGUAUUAAUAUUUUUUCUUGUAGCCCAUUAAUAUUGAACAGUCGAUAAAAAAAACUUAAGGUCGAAAGACUGAAGUCGAAUGAUUGAGGUUGAAUGGUCGAACCGAAUGUCAAAAUUGAAAAGUCAAUUAAGAAAUCAUAGAUAAAAAGAUUGAGAUCGAAUUGGUAAUCCCAAAUAUAAAGACUGAAAAGUCGAUAAAGAAAUCAAAAUCAAGAAAUUGAGACGAAAUUAUUGAGACUAAAUGCUCGAACAAAAAGUCAAAAUUAAAAAAAUAUAUUAAAAGAUUAAUUAUUUUAAAAUCUAAAAAUAUAAUUGUUUUAUAAUAUUUUUAGAAACAUAAAUUUUAUUUAUAUAUUCGAGUUUUUCCAAUUAUACCUUUUAACUCUACUUGAUAUUUUUUAACCCAUCGAUAAAUACUUUUUAAAAUAUCUUCAAUAUGAUAAAUUAUAACUUAUCGGUGGGGCAAGUGUAAAUUAAAAAAUUAUUAACUAUCAGCUAAUUUUGAUAAACACAUUCUAAUAAUAUCUAAAUUUCAGAGGAGAAUAGUAGAGUUGAGUAUUGAGGAGAACAUCAAAUAUAGAAUGAGUGGUUGAGAAAUUGCCAGCAUGUGAUCUCAGUAUAUCUCAUAUUUAUAGUUACCUAUGUAUAACGGUAAAUAAAUAAUAAUCAUUUAAUUUCCAUCCAACAAAAUCAUGAUAUUACCUUUUAAAUAACAUAAGAUCAAGAGAGCUGACGAUUAAAAGAAGCAACGGUAUUAUUUGUUGUGUCAUUCACUGACUAUUAGACUAACGUUAAGUAUCUAAUUAAAUGCCUCAGAUCAAAUUAAAGUUCAUAAUUAUGGAUUAUAAGUUAUAAGUUAUUUUUUAUUUUAUUUUAUAACUUAUUUACAAAAUUUAAUUAUUAUCAUGUAUAUUCUAAGAUACAUUUUUUAUUAUCUUUAUUUUCUCUUACAUAUUACUACAUAUGUUAAUUUUAUACACGCAAUCAAUUACUACAUUGUUUUUAGUAUUUAUUAGAUUACUAUUUAUUUUUAAUGUAAAUCAAAUUAAAAUAUCACAUUACACAUUAAAAUAACCAAUAUUUAAUUUCAUAUAUACGAAAAUAUAAAAUAUGCCGCAUAAGAAAACAAUAUACUACAUCGGUUUAUUUCUUUUAUUGCUUUAAAAUCUCGUUUUCUUGUUUUUAAGUGCUUUUUGCAAUUUUUUUCUGUCUCUUCUUGCCUAAGUACUAUGGAUGAAUGUCAUUCGUGGAACAACUCCGAGAUAAUGUUGUGUAGUUUGUUUUGUGUUGGAAUUUUUAUUAAAGUUGCAUGAUUUUUUUUUUAUUCUACAAAUUAUAUAAAUAUAUAUUGGUAUUUAAAAACUAAAAAAAUUAUUUAAUUUGUUACGACUAUAAUCAAUUUAUUUAUUUUAUACUGAAAAUUUUAUAUCAACUAGAAAUGAAAGAUAAAAUUAAUUUAUAAUAUAUAAGUUAGUGAAAUCUCACCUUAUAAAUUAAUUUAAUUUUGUAAACAUGAUAUUAUAACGUUAAGAACUACAAAGUGAUAUAGAUAAUCAAAUUCUACUAUUAUCAUUGACUACAAUACUGUAUAUUUAUUUAUUUUAACAACCUCUACUUCUAAGAAAAGAAAAAGAAAGAAAACAUUUUUCCAAAUUACAGGAUUUAAAAAUAAUUAAAAGAAUUUAAAACUUAAAUUAAAGAAAUUAAAAACAUAUUUAAACGACUUUUGAAACAUUAAAUGGUAAUUGUUUUGAAUGUGAAACAACAAGAAAGAAAGACAUACUGUUAUUGAAAUUUGUCUGGUAAUUGAAGAUUACUCUUGUUCAGUCAUCGGUAGAGUCGUUAAAAUGGGUCACAGUUUACGAGUCAAUUCAACUUACUACGGGUUCGAGUUGGGUUGGGUUUGAAAAAAUUGAAUUCUUUUAUUCGGAUCAGAUUUCAAUCCGGCUCAUUUAAACCUGGUUCAUGUGAGUUGAACCUGUGGUGGACCGCGUUGGCCAGUCAACCCACCUAUCUAAUUUUAUUUUUUUAAUUUAUCAUUUUAUUGUGAAAUCCUAAAAAAUAAAAUCUUCUCUUCACUUAGUGUGUAUAACAAAAAAUAACCUAUGCUCUCACAAAUCACUUUCAUGGAACUUGUUCUCCUUUACCGUGCUGUCACUCUCAAUUCUUCACUGAAAUUCUUCAAGGAGUAGGUUUUUUGUGUUUGUUUUUGGAUGACAUUUGGAUUAUAUUGUACUUUUUAUUAUUAUUUUGAAUUGUCUUCCGUUUAACAUCAUUGGGAGUGAAAUUUAUUUAAAUUUGAAUAUAGAAAAUUUGAAUUUUUUUUUAUUUAAAAAGAAACUUAAUUAAAUGGACCAGUGAGUCAAUCCGUUUAUUUACCAACCCAUGGUAGGUCGAGUCAGGUUCAGAUUUUUCUAGCUCAUUGAUAAAUGAGUCGGAUUAAAUUGACUCACUAAAUGACCAAUUCAUAAUGGAUCAGACCGAAUCGAGUCAGAUUAUCCGUCUUGCUCUAGUAAUCAGUAAUACAAGUUGGGAAGUGAUUUGAAUUACACGAGUAAUCAUGAAAAGAUGUUGAUCUAACCUUUUCAAAGUAUAAAAGAAUGCACUUUUAAUCGUUAAGCAUUACUAAAUAUACUGAGAAAUAUAAGUCAGAUUUGAAAGAAAAAAAAAAAAAACAGGUGGAGAGAGACAUUGUGUCAUAAUUUUAUUUGUUUGUGGGGGCAUGAGAAAAACGACAAGUGAGAAAGGAAGAUGCAGCUAUCAUAUCUUUAUACAAAUCUCCCACAUAAAGAAAAUAAAAAAUAAAAAAAUCUAUACACAAAUCCCUUAUAUCUUUUGUGAUUUUGUAGCUCCAAAAGAACAACCUCUCUCUUUCUCUUACACAAUAACACAUUAUAUUAUCAUGUAAUCAUCACAACAACAAUCAUAAAUAAAUUACAUAUACUUUCGAUAAUUGUAAAUGGACCCCUCACUACAAAGAGAGCAGCUGCAUCACUAACUUGUGGGACACCACCUACCAAAUAACAAAUAAUCUAUGUGUAUAUAUAUAUAAUCAAACAUAAUUUAAAUACGAACCUAUGUUUUACAUUAUAUAUAAAAAAAACAUUCUUAAUGUUUUAGGUUGAUUUCUCUUAAUGUUUUAUGGUUUUUCAUGGUUCAAAUUAUGUUGUUCGUAUUUUAUCAUUCAAAGUCGUGUAAAAGAUAUUUGUUAAAAAGAUAUUUCCAUACUUAAAUCAAUAAUUUUAUUUAAUAAUUCUAUAAUAAAGAUAAGUAAAUCAAAAUUAAUUAACUGACUUUCUCUACUUAUAUUUAUAAACAUUAGGUUUAAUUGCUUCUUUUGUCUCCAGUUUGGUUGGAGUGUGUCAAAUUCGUCUUUCUUUUAGAAAAAUGUCAAUUUCGUUUUCAUAUAGAAAAAAUUUGUCUCAAUUAAGUCAUUUCGGUUAAAUACAAACUAAUGGUAUUAAAAACUUAAAGUGAGUUUUGAAUAAUAACCAUUUCAUGGAUCCGAUCCUUGAUAUUGCAGUAGAUAAAGUAAGUUUUGAAAACAAUGAUUUUUAGCAGAAAUGAUUUGAUUGACACAUUUUUUCUGUAUAGAAACGAAAUUGAUAUUUUUCUAAAAAAGGACGAAUUUGACACACUUUAACCAAAGUGGGAACAAAAGAAGCAAUUAAACCUGAAUAUUAUUAUGUUUUUUUACCCAUUAGUAAUUAAUAAAUAAUUUUCAUUAUUUUUAUUAAUUUUUAAUAAUAACUAUUAUUUUUAAUAACUAUUUAUUAAUAAUUAUUAUUGUUUAAAUUAAUUAUCAAUUAAUAAUUGUUUCAUGAUAUUGAUUGACGUAGUAAUUAUUCAACACACUUAAUAAACCCAUCAUUUAUAUAUAAUAGAUUAAAAAUAUAUUGAAAAAUAAUUUGUUAUAAGUUAAAUAUUGAUAUGUUUAAAAUGGAGUGAAGAUGGUAUAUAAUAAAUUAGAAUUAAUUAAUAGAAUUAAUAGAAGAAGAGAGAGAAAGAACAGAAGAUAGUGUUUGAUUGGGGUGGCAUUGACUCCUCCCAAGGUAAAGACAUGAUGAGGCAAUGAAAGCAGAAGCUGCGGGCGUGUUCUUCACUCUCGAGUCGAGAGAGGGUCCCAGAGAGGUUAUGUGAGAUGGUGUUGGAGCGUGAGAACCAAAUUCUGAGAGAGGAACUGAGUGAGCAAUGAUAAGUAAAACAAAGCAAAGCAAAGGGUGUUGACUGUUGAGUUUUGCUGUGCUGUGCUGUGCUCGGGAAAGCAAUGAAAGCUCAGAAAUUGAAAGUAAAUACUAAAUACUGAAUACUGAAUACACUACACACAAUAGGAGAGAGAGAAAGGAGUGUCAGAGGUUAGAGGCAAGUGGGAUCUGGAUCCGCUCAAAGAAGCACACACCAUAACAGAAGGGACACUGCCACCACACGCACACGUUCUUCUAAAGGGAGCUUCAUAGUGAGUGAGAGAGUGUGAGAGUGUGAGUGUGAGAGAUGGUUGAGGUGAGUUGAGAGAGAAAGAAGGUUAAAAUGAGAAUGAUAAGUUCAGUUCUCAACAUAACAUAGUGUUUUUUGCCCAGAACCCCAUAAAAACACAUAAGGAGAACUUGGGCAAUUCGUGUUUCUUCUGUGCUGCUUCUAUCUGCAACUAUGUUAUAAAUAAGGCGGUGGUUUGGCUUUUCUAGUAACUUUGACUACCAUUGUGUUUGAGGUUGAGGCACUGACCAAACCAAAACCAAAGACAGAAACUUUAUCUUUCUUUCAUUCAUGGGUAAGGCCCAAACCUUCUCCUCAGAUUAGGAUUUCAAAUUUAAUUUGGAAAUUUUAGAAGGAACUUAAUAAGUAGGAGGGAGAAAAAGAAAGAAGGAAAAGGAAAAGAGUUAUUUGUUGUUGUUUGUAAGUUUCUCCUUUUGUUGUUUCUGCAACUUUUGCACUCAUUACUUCUUUAUAGAGAAAUUCAACCACCAUGUUAUGUCUCUCUCCCUUUUCUUUAUUUUCUCUCAUUCCUUUAAUCAAAGGUAACUCUUGGCUUGGCACCCUCUUCCCUUAGUUUUCUCCCAUUAAUCCCAUCACACGGGAAUACUCCUUUUAACACCACUUUUUACUCCUCCUUCUCCUUUUCUUCUUUCACUUACUUUUCUUCUCCUGUUUUGCUUUGCUUGCAGGAAUAUGAGAAAGAAACUCACUGUGCCACUGCUCAUCCCAAGUUGGUAGGUAGGGCUUGUGUGGUUGAGAAAGAAACUUUUCUUGUACCAGGAGUGAGGAGUGAGAAAGAUGACAACUAGAGAAUAGAGAGAGAGAGACAAAGAGAGAGAUUACACACACAUAACUUGAAGAAACAAAUUUGAAUUUUAGGGAUAGACUAGUUUGCUGUGGAGCUGAAGUUCCAAUCUCUUUGUUGAAUCAUGGAUGGUUACGAAGCUACAAGAAUUGUGUUUGCUAGGAUCCAAAACCUGGACCCUGAAAAUGCAUCCAAAAUCAUGGGUGUACUUCUUCUUCAGGACCAUGGUGAGAAGGAAAUGAUUAGAUUAGCAUUUGGCCCAGAAGCACUUGUUCACUCUGUGAUUCUCAAAGCACGCAAGGAGUUAGGUUUACCUUCGAACUCUCCGCCAACGCCCUCUACUCCUCCUUCUCCUUCGCCCUUCCUUUCGAGGCAAAGCUCCACUUCUUCCAGGCUUGGUGGUAUCAACCUACCUCCUGCUCUCACCAUUCCAAACCCUUCUUCCACUUCAUCUUCUUGGCCUACUAUGUCUGAGCUUCAAACCCCAGAUGGUUUGAUGAGUCCCAACCAUUUGGUUGUUGGCUCUUCUACUUCUUCAUCUUCCUUACCCUUUUAUGUCAACGGAGGCUCAGAUCCAAUUGAUGACUUUCAACUUCAGGAUCAGCUGUCUUUCCUUAAUGAUGGUUCUCCCACUAGUACUGCUCUUGCUCACAAGAGCAACCCAGAUUUGUUUUACCCAACUCACUCGGACAUGUCCUCAAGUCCUACUGGUGUUGCUGACCCUGCUCUCUUUCCUUCCUACGGUUGGGGAGGGUCCCUUCAUCGAAGGAGUUGCUCGGUCAAUGAUGCUUGUUUGGGUUCUGAGGACCCGAACUCCGGGUUGGGGUGGAAGCCUUGUCUUUACUUUGCUAGAGGGUACUGUAAGAAUGGGACAAGUUGCAGGUUCCUUCAUAGUGGACUUGGAGAUGCAGAUGGUGCUGCUGCAAUGGUAGGGUCUCCAAGCAAGAUUGAGAUGAUGGAGCAGUGCCAUGAGCUCUUCAGAUCCAAAUCUUCUCAGCAGCACAGAUUGGCUGCUGCUUCUCAGCUCAUGGGCUCUCCAACUUUUCCAUACUCGCCUAAGUGCAUGAAUUUGCUGUUGCAGCAGCAACAGAACGAUACUCAAAGG